AGUGUGUUAGAAAUAAACCACACAGGGGAGGGUUCGGCUUGACUGCUGAUGAAGGACAUGGCAAGCUGUGAUAUGUCCUGGCAAGGCGCAUGCAGCCUUUGAACCAGGAAUUUCCGAAUUUAUCCUGAUUUAUAAUCAGGAUAGGGAACGCGGGGAAUUGAAACAUCUUAUUACCCGCAGGAAAAGAAAGCAAAAGCGAUUCGGUUAGUAAAGGCGAUCGAAACCCGAUUAAAGAGCAAACUGAAUCCUUAAUGGAAACAUUGAGGAGAUGUGGUGCGGCCCUAAUUUUAUCGUAAUUAAAUCAGACGAAGUUUUUCUGGAAUGGAACACAAAACAGGGUGACAGUCCCGUAGUCAAAAUUUAAACGAUAUUUUGGAGUCCGAGAGUAGCAGGCAUUGGAUAUUGCUUGUGAAUACGGGAGGCAUCCACUCCCAACUCUAAAUACAUGUCAAGACCGAUAGCAGACUAGUACCGUGAGGGAAAACUGAAAAGGAUCCCCGUAAAGGAUGUGAAAAGAGCCUGAAACUGUGUGGUGAUAGUUAGACGCAGCGUUUAAACAAUUACAUGAAGUUUACGAAUGUAAUUUUGUAUGUUGCGUCGUUCGUCUAGAAACAUGAGGCAGGGAGUGUAAGCAUGCGGUGAGGUGAAAACCGUAGCGAAAGCAAAUAUCCGCAUUGCGCAAGCAAGAGGGAUGUGGUAUGAUAAGUGCCAUAAAUCGCAUGAUUACGACCUGAAGCCAAUCGAUCUAACCCGGGGCAGGAUGAAGUCCAUUAACUAAUGGAUGGAGGUCCGCUAGAGGUUCUGGGCUCAACCCGUUCUCGUGACCCCGGGAUAGGAGUGAAAUGCUAAUCGAGUUUGGCAAUAGCAGGUUCCUUCCGAAAUGGCCCGCAGUCCAGUCUGACCGGAGAUGGAUUAUGGGGUAGAGCACUGAUUGAGUAGCCCGGGGAAGAAAUUCCUCACUAUUCUGUCAAACUCCAAACCCAUAAUCAUCGUAGAAGGUUGGAAACGGGGCCGGGGGGUAAGCUCCCGGUCCGAAAGGGAAACAACCCUGAUUGUGGUUAAGGCCCCCAAGUAUUGACUAAGUGUAAGCAAAGGCGUCUUAGGGCUAAGACAGCGAGAAGGUUGGCUUAGAAGCAGCCAUCCUCUAAGGAGUUCGUAACAGAUCACUCGCCGAGUUCUAGGGCCCUUAAAAUAUACGGGGCUCAAGUCAAUCGCCGAUACCACAAUGCAUAAUGGUAAUUAUGAUCAAGUAGGAAGGUGUAAAGCGAGGAAAGAAGCUUUUUCGUAAGAAUUGGUGGACCUCGCGUUAAUAAGAAUCCUGCCAGUAGUAACAGCAAAGUAAUGUGAGAAUCAUUACCAUCUGAAGGGCAAGGGUUCCUCAACAAUGUUUAUCAGUUGAGGGUUAGUCGAUCCUAAGGUAUCCGUAAUUCGGGUGACGAAAGGGAAACUGGUUAAUAUUCCAGUACCAUACAAGUACACGCGGUAACGCAAUUUCAUUUCCUGACAUUUCGGGGUAGUCCGAGCAUCAUUGUCUUGAUGUCUAAAAGAAAUAAGAUUGUGGAGUACUAUAAAAGUGAGAAGCAGUCUAAAUCUUGAAUUAGUUGUUAGAUUCAGACAAUCCCUGGAAUUCGUAAAAAGGGAAAUGAUAGGACCUUGUAUGAUCGUACCAAGAACUGACACAGGUGCCCCUAGGUGAAAAGCCUCAGAUGUGACAAGAUAACUCUCGUUAGGGAAGUCGGCAAACUAGCCCUGUAACUUUGGGAUAAAGGGUGCCUGCCAUUCGCAUGGCAGGUUUCAAUAACAAGAGGAUUCCGACUGUUUAAUAAAAACGUAGGUCCCUGCAAAUUCGUAAGGACGUGUAUAGGGGCUGAUACCUGCCCAGUGACAGUAUGUCAAACUCCGGUCCAACGGAGUGAAGCACUGUUAAACGGCGGGGGUAACUAUGACCCUCUUAAGGUAGCGUAAUACCUUGCCGCUUAAUUGGCGGCUUGCAUGAACGGUUUAACGAGAUUCCUGCUGUCCCAACGAGAGACUUGGUGAACCAACGGUCUUGGUGUAUAGGCCAGGGACUUCCAGCGGGACGCGAAGACCCCAUGGAGCUUUACUGCAGCUUGUUGUUGGAUUGCGGUUAUGGUCGCGCAGUGUAGGUGGGAGACACAGAUCCCGUGCUUUUGGGCACGGAGGAGUCAAAAGUGAGACACCACCCUUCUGUCACUACAAUCCUAACUCUUUAUAAGAGGACACCUACAGGUGGGCAGUUCGGCUGGGGCGGUACACCGUUGAAAACUUAUCAACGGUAUCUAAUGGUUGGCUCAGACGGGUCAGAAAUCCGUCGUAGAGGACAAGACCAAAAGCCAGCCUUACUAAAUUCUGACCAACAAAGAAUUUAGUGACGAAAGUCCAGUCUAGCGAACCCCGGUACCCCAUUGAUGGGGGUCCGGGCUGAUGAAAAAGCUACCCUGGGGAUAACUGAGUUGUCGCGGGCAAGAGUACACAUCGACCCCGCGGCUUGCUACUUCGCUGUCGGCUCUCUCUAUCCUGGGUGUGCAGAAGCACCCAAGGGUGGGGUUGUUCGCCCAUUAAAAGGGAACGUGAGCUGGGUUUAGAACGUCGCGAGACAGUUUGGCGGCAUCUACUGGAAGUGUUGUUUACCUGAGGGGCAGGUCCAGUUAGUACGAGAGGAACACUGGGUCGGGGCCUCUGGUCUAUCAGUUGUCUGACAAGGCACUGCUGAGUAGCUACGCCCUAUAUUGGUAAAGGCUGAAAGCAUCUAAGCCUGAAACAAUCCCCAAAAAGAGGUAAACUAAGACGCUUGUAAAAGACAAGUUUAAUAGGUGAGGGGUGUAAGUACCGAGGCAACGAGGUAUUAAGCCCACUCAUACUAACAGUCAUAUCUAACAUUAA
Molecule: ribosomal RNA, 2904 nt
Rfam family: Archaeal large subunit ribosomal RNA
Source: Rfam